AGGACGAACGUUUGCGGCGUGCCUAAUGUAUGCAAGUCGAGCGGAGCGGUUUCCUUCGGGAGGCCGUUCAGCGGCGAACGGUUGAGUAACACGUAGGCAACCUGCCCCGAAGUCGGGAAUAACUCAUCGAAAGGUGGGCUAAUACCGGAUGUGGAGCCGACUGCCUGGUCGGUUCUCUAAAGGCGCAAGCCGCUUCGGGAUGGGCCUGCGGCCUAUCAGCUAGUUGGUGGGGUAACGGCCCACCAAGGCGACGACGGGUAGC
Molecule: ribosomal RNA, 262 nt
Filed under: uncultured bacterium
Lineage: Bacteria
Description: partial small subunit ribosomal RNA
Rfam family: Bacterial small subunit ribosomal RNA
Source: RNAcentral